Molecule: transfer RNA, 72 nt
Filed under: Podarcis lilfordi (Lilford's wall lizard)
Lineage: Eukaryota; Metazoa; Chordata; Lepidosauria; Squamata; Lacertidae
Description: tRNA.Gln
Rfam family: tRNA (bases 4-61)
About the family: Transfer RNA (tRNA) molecules are approximately 80 nucleotides in length. Their secondary structure includes four short double-helical elements and three loops (D, anti-codon, and T loops).
Source: RNAcentral
UUCUAGCUCAGUUGGUAGAGCAUGAGACUCUGAAUUUCAGGGUCCUGGGUUUGAGUCCUACAUUGGGCAAAA